RNAcentral lists this ribosomal RNA (1300 nucleotides) under metagenome. RNAcentral describes it as "bacterial LSU rRNA". It matches the Rfam family "Bacterial large subunit ribosomal RNA", at positions 1635 to 2925 of the family's 2925-position model. The record is from RNAcentral.
UACACGACCGUACCGCAAACCGACACUGGUGCGCGAGAUGAGUAUUCUCAGGCGCUUGAGAGAACUCGGGAGAAGGAACUCGGCAAAUUGACACCGUAACUUCGGAAGAAGGUGUGCCUUUAGUAGGUGAAGUCCCUCGCGGAUGGAGCCCAAUGAGGUUGCAAAGAAUCGGUGGCUGCGACUGUUUAAUAAAAACACAGCACUCUGCAAACACGAAAGUGGACGUAUAGGGUGUGACGCCUGCCCGGUGCUGGAAGAUUAAGUGAUGGGGUGCAAGCUCUUGAUCGAAGUCCCAGUAAACGGCGGCCGUAACGAUAACGGUCCUAAGGUAGCGAAAUUCCUUGUCGGGUAAGUUCCGACCUGCACGAAUGGCGUAACGAUGGCCACACUGUCUCCUCCCGAGACUCAGCGAAGUUGAAAUGUUUGUGAUGAUGCAAUCUCCCCGCGGAAAGACGGAAAGACCCCAUGAACCUUUACUGUAGCUUUGUAUUGGACUUUGAACGGAUCUGUGUAGGAUAGGUGGGAGGCUUUGAAGCCGGGUCGCUAGAUCUGGUGGAGCCAACGUUGAAAUACCACCCUGGUGCGUUUGAGGUUCUAACCUAGGCCCGUUAUCCGGGCCGGGGACAGUGCAUGGUAGGCAGUUUGACUGGGGCGGUCUCCUCCCGAAGCGUAACGGAGGAGUUCGAAGGUACGCUAGUUACGGUCGGACAUCGUGACGAUAGUGCAAUGGCAUAAGCGUGCUUAACUGCGAGACUGACAAGUCGAGCAGAUGCGAAAGCAGGACAUAGUGAUCCGGUGGUUCUGUAUGGAAGGGCCAUCGCUCAACGGAUAAAAGGUACUCUGGGGAUAACAGGCUGAUACCGCCCAAGAGUUCAUAUCGACGGCGGUGUUUGGCACCUCGAUGUCGGCUCAUCUCAUCCUGGGGCUGUAGCCGGUCCCAAGGGUAUGGCUGUUCGCCAUUUAAAGAGGUACGUGAGCUGGGUUUAAAACGUCGUGAGACAGUUUGGUCCCUAUCUUCCGUGGGCGCUGCAGAUUUGAGGAAGCCUGCUCCUAGUACGAGAGGACCGGAGUGGACGCACCUCUGGUGUACCUGUUGUCACGCCAGUGGCAUUGCAGGGUAGCUAAGUGCGGAAGAGAUAACCGCUGAAAGCAUCCAAGCGGGAAACUCGUUUCAAGAUGAGAUCUGCCGGGGCCUUGAGCCCCCUGAAGAGUCGUUCUAGACCAGGACGUUGAUAGGUCAGGUGUGGAAGCGCAGUAAUGCGUUAAGCUAACUGAUACUAAUUGCUCGUGCGGCUUGACC